UGGGGAAUUUUGGACAAUGGGCGCAAGCCUGAUCCAGCCAUUCCGCGUGAGUGAAGAAGGCCUUCGGGUUGUAAAGCUCUUUCGCAAGGGAAGAGAACUUAGUCUCUAACAUAGACUGAGGUUGACGGUACCUUGAUAAGAAGCACCGGCUAACUACGUGCCAGCAGCCACGGUAAUACGUAGGGUGCGAGCGUUAAUCGGAAUUACUGGGCGUAAAGCGUGCGCAGGCGGUUUUGUAAGUCAGAUGUGAAAUCCCCGAGCUCAACUUGGGAACUGCGUUUGAAACUACAAGACUAGAAUAUGUCAGAAGGGGGUAGAAUUCCACGUGUAGCAGUGAAAUGCGUAGAGAUGUGGAGGAAUACCAAUGGCGAAGGCAGCCCCCUGGGAUAAUAUUGACGCUCAUGCACGAAAGCGUGGGGAGCAAACAG
Molecule: ribosomal RNA, 428 nt
Filed under: uncultured bacterium
Lineage: Bacteria
Description: bacterial SSU rRNA
Rfam family: Bacterial small subunit ribosomal RNA
Source: RNAcentral